GAGCACGUAGGUGGGUUUGUAAGUCAGACGUGAAAGCCUUCUGUUCAACGGAAGAAUUGCAUCUGAAACUACAAACCUUGAGUGUAGGAGGGGAGAAUGGAACUUCUGGUGGAGCGGUGAAAUGCGUAGAUAUCAGAAGGAACGCCGGCGGCGAAAGCGAUUCUCUGGCCUAUUACUGACACUCAGUGUGCGAAAGCUAGGGGAGCAAACGGGAUUAGAUACCCCGGUAGUCCUAGCCGUAAACGAUGGGCACUAAGUAGAGGGAAUUACCGAUGUUCUCUCUGCCGUARCUAACGCAUUAAGUGCCCCGCCUGGGGAGUACGGCCGCAAGGCUAAAACUCAAAAGAAUUGACGGGGGCUCGCACAAGCGGUGGAGCAUGUGGCUUAAUUCGAUGCAACGCGAAAAACCUUACCGGGGCUUGACAUGGUAGAAGUAGGAACCCGAAAGGGUAACGAACGGUAUCCAGUCGGUGACUAUCACAGGUGUUGCAUGGCUGUCGUCAGCUCGUGUCGUGAGACGUUGGGUUAAGUCCCCUAACGAGCGAAACCCUUGUUUUUAGUUGCCAGCGGGUUGUGCCGGGCACUCUAGAAAGACUGCCGUCGUCAAGACGGAGGAAGGUGGGGAUGACGUCAAGUCAUCAUGGCCCUUAUGCCCCGGGCUGCACACGUGCUACAAUGGCCGGUACAAACGGAACSAAGCCGAGGGUGAAGCGAAUCC
RNAcentral lists this ribosomal RNA (718 nucleotides) under uncultured Planctomycetota bacterium. Its description in RNAcentral is "bacterial SSU rRNA". It matches the Rfam family "Bacterial small subunit ribosomal RNA", at positions 565 to 1274 of the family's 1533-position model. Lineage: Bacteria; Pseudomonadati; Planctomycetota. The record is from RNAcentral.